UCCUGGCUUAGGACGAACGCUGGCGGCGUAGCUUAACACAUGCAAGUCGAGCGAUGAAGCUCUUCGGAAGUGGAUUAGCGGCGGACGGGUGAGUAACACGUGGGUAACCUGCCUCAUAGAGGGGAAUAGCCUUCCGAAAGGAAGAUUAAUACCGCAUAAGAUUGUAAUAUCGCAUGAUAUAGCAAUUAAAGGAGUAAUCCGCUAUGAGAUGGACCCCGCGUCGCAUUAGCUAGUUGGUGAGGUAACGGCUCACCAAGGCGACGAUGCGUAGCCGACCUGAGAGGGUGAUCGGCCACAUUGGGACUGAGACACGGCCCAGACUCCUACGGGAGGCAGCAGUGGGGAAUAUUGCACAAUGGGGGAAACCCUGAUGCAAGCAACGCCGCGUGAGUGAUGACGGUCUUCGGAUUGUAAAGCUCUGUCUUCAGGGACGAUAAUGACGGUACCUGAGGAGGAAGCCACGGCUAACUACGUGCCAGCCGCCGC
This 486-nucleotide ribosomal RNA is filed under the name uncultured bacterium. RNAcentral describes it as "bacterial SSU rRNA". It matches the Rfam family "Bacterial small subunit ribosomal RNA", at positions 17 to 518 of the family's 1533-position model. The record is from RNAcentral.